GCCCGGGUGGCGAAACGGUAGACGCAGCCUGCUCAAACCUGGUGGCCAUAUGGCGUGAGGGUUCGACUCCCUCCCCGGGCA
RNAcentral lists this transfer RNA (81 nucleotides) under Myxococcales bacterium. RNAcentral's name for it is "tRNA-Leu". It matches the Rfam family "tRNA". Rfam says of the family: Transfer RNA (tRNA) molecules are approximately 80 nucleotides in length. Lineage: Bacteria; Pseudomonadati; Myxococcota; Myxococcia; Myxococcales. The record is from RNAcentral.